AGCAAAAGUAGUUGGAAGUUGAAUGAUAAUGAUUGAAAUAAAGGCAAAAGAUGUGGCUAUGACAAAGUGAAUGUGAUUGUGUCUAAGACACUCACCACAGACCAUAACAUCAAAAACUAAAUUUCAAAUCCCCAAAUCGUGGCACAUAACAAUGCCACUCUUUUUCUUUCUCUUUUUUAAUGCUCUCACAAUUUCUCUCUCUCACACUUUUCUUACACAAAAAGCUUCAUAUUCCAUUUCCCUGUGAAGUGUGAAGUUGCUUUGUCUCAUUCAAACUCAGCAACUACUCACCCACCUAAAUCCAACCCCUUAUUCUUCUCAUUUACAACUCAACUCUUCUUAUUUCAAUUCAACCCUUUCUACAUUCAACAAUGUAACAUAACACCAUUCAAAAAAUGCAACUUUAGCUUGCCACCUGUGUAGAUCUGAAACACCUGGGAUCUAAAAAAGAACAGAUUUUUAGUUCUGGGUUCUGUUCUUUGCUCUAUUGGGUAUUCGAGAAAGUGUUUUUUUUCUGGAAAUUUGUGGAGCCAUUGUUUGGCUAAAAAAUGGGGUCCAAUGGUAGCAAAGCCACUUCAUCUUGUAGUUCAUCGUCGUGUUCUGGAAGUUUUCAGAAGGGUCGAUCUAAAAAGUAUAGAGGGUUUCAAUCUUUUUGUAUAGGAACAACAUCUGGAUCUCAUGAUAGUGAUAAUGACGAGAUCUGUGGUCAGAAUAAAGUAAAUGGAAAUGAUGUUACAUACACCCGAGGCAACGAAAUAGACUCAGAUGAAGUGAAAAUAGAUUCUUUUAGAAAGGUUAAAUCUGAUGAGUCUUGCAUUCAUCCUAACCUUGACCAUGAUGAGUGGGGUGACACUGAAUCCAGAACCGGCAUCAGUUCUGCCCAUGCUUCUUCAACUCAGUCCUUGAACCCUUCAAAUCGAUUGUUUUCUCGCUUUAGCCUCAUUCCUGGUAAUAUAAGCUUCAGACUUAGCAGAACUACCAGUUUAGGGUCAUCGAGGCCUUGUCCUGUUUCUUCUGCAAGCCCUUCGGUAUUUAACAACGAAGGUGAGCGUAAUCUGCAUCCACAGCUUCCAACUAGCUCGAUUAGUAGAAAUGAACCUCAACAAGGUAGUGACCCGCGUAAUGCAUCACUUGUUAAUCAAGUUCCUAUACAGUAUCAUGAAGAUGCUUCUAAUAAUUUAAGAUCUAUCACCUCAGCAGUGGUUUCACCUCGUAGCUUACAGAGAAGUCCGUCGAUUUAUCCUAUUCAGGAUGUGGUUACAGAUGGAGAUGGUACAAGAGAAGUGCAGGAUUUGGACUUAUUUGCUCCAAGAAUUCAAAAUGAGUCUGAAAAUCUAGAUACUAGACAUUCUAAUAGACGAAAUGGAGUUCGAGAACAUGUUGAA
This 1385-nucleotide long non-coding RNA is filed under the name Lupinus mutabilis. RNAcentral describes it as "partial ncRNA". The record is from RNAcentral. Lineage: Eukaryota; Viridiplantae; Streptophyta; Magnoliopsida; Fabales; Fabaceae.